UCCUUUUAGGGGCAAAAACGAGUGCGCCCGAGCCAGGGAGCUCGGCUCUGCACCAGGCGCUCGCCCCGACCCCGUCUUCCUCCGCCGCCUCGCCGCGCCGGCCGGCAUCACCGGAGAUCACCGCCGCCGCGAACAGCGCCGCCAUGGCCGCCCCGAGCUUUGCUGGCAGCCACGCCGCGUGACUCCGGCGGGAUCCGCUCGCCCCUGCCAGGAUCCGCAUCCCCCACUCCACCGCGCCGCAGAUCCGCCCGUCCGCCAGCCUCCCCCCUGCUCGACUCGGGUGGACGGGCGAAGUUUCUGACUUGCCAUUGUAGUUGACCUGAAGCUCCAUUGGUGAGGACCAUUGUCGCUGCUACAGGUUAGGGAGGAGGCUCGAGGCAGCCACAAAUUAUGUCCUGCACUGCUUCAACACCGGCCUAUUCUAGCAUAAUCUUCUGCCGUGAGGAUUUGAUGCAGCAAGGGCCAUUUGUUUGACAGAAAUAGAGUUGUUGCCGCAAGAGAGGUACAAAUCAAGGACCGAGGAGGGAUGAGUGUGAAUUUGAUCUAAGUUGGGUUACUUUCUAUGAAUAGACGAUGCGAUUGCUUUGUUAUUUCGUUUAAUUAAUAGAAAAAUUGAUGAGGCAAUUGGAAGAAUCAAGCAGCAAUUUUACUACAUAUCUGCGCCAUUGAUUUGGUCAUCUCUGUCACUAGCAAGUUGCAUAAGAAAGAGUGUGGCGUUGCAGAGGCGUGUAUAAUUGUGAGUCCCUCAAUUAUAGAGAGGAUCCAGGUGAAAGAUGUAGGUGGUGUGCGGAUUGAACUCUAGAUCAGGAACCUGCAGUACUAGAUGGACGAUAACUAUGCUUACAAUUGUUGACCGAACACUGUGAGGUAUGUGCCUGUCCCUCUUCCACCCAUAUCAACAAGUAAUUUUGGAAGAAGCUAAUUUAGUGUAGCAAGAACAUCAUAUUUUAGAUACAGUCUGCAAAUCAAUGUACUUUGUCCGUCUUUCCUUCACCAAAGCAUGCGUUGUGAGAUCAUGAUUACUACCAGGUACUCCCUCUGUAAACUAAUAUAAGAGCGUUUAGAUCACUAUUUUAGUGAUCUAAAUGCUCUUAUAUUAGUUUACGGAGGGAGUACAACAUUGCAAUUUAUUGUCCAAAAUGUUCCUUGAACACACUCCCAAAUUCCCAACCAUCAGCAAUUAUAGUCUCCUCAAUUCAGAUGCAUAAUUACAUAAUAUUGUUAUACAUGUUGCUUAAGUUGAUCACCAUUAUGCUGUUAAUUGGACCUCAAGAAUAGAUAUGACACCUUACCUUAGGCAGCUCUUUAUUUUGUGGACGUUAAUUCAAUUUUGGAAGUUGAUUCAAGUCUGUUGUGCUUGAAGUAGAUUCAUAGAAGCUACAGUUCUGUUAGUAUGUGAACAAAAAGCUUAUCUUAUAUGUGUGACCGGAGUUGCAGAAUAUGAAUAGGGGAAUGAUCAUAGAUGCCAACACCUACAGUAUGAUUUAUCUUGAUAGAGGUGCAGUGGAUUUGUAAGUAGUUUUAGUGUUUUUUUGUAGAUAGCUCAAGUACUUGAGCUUCUGCAAUCAUGAAAAAAACAAAACAAGGGACCAGUAGUCAGGUUCUAGUACACUGAUGCUUUCUCUGUUAAAAUCUUGACACACAUUAUCAAUCUCAAUAGCUUAAUCGAUUCUAAGCUCACCAGAAGUAUUUGUUCAGAAUUUGGAUCAUCGGUCGCAUAUGCUUAUACCCGAACCCUCUAUAACAUGGUAUUCUUGUGCCAGAUUUUUGCCAUUCGGUAAUAGUUAUAAUUGCAUACUUCGAUCUAGGAGUAAUGGUUGUCCCAGGAUGCGUCUCAUGUCUUACUUUGUGACAGCAGUUGGUUGCAUUUCAGUGACAGUCAAUUCAACCUUGAACAAGCAACUAAAUAGCAGGUCUUCUUUGGUUGGAAUCACCACAUCUCAUCUAUGUUACUGCAAAAGCUUUUCAUUAUUGGACCAAGCUUAUGCGAUAUGCAUUGCAGUCAGUAAGGCUGUACAUUGUGUGGAGGAACUGAAUGUGUAUCCUGUUCAGUGCACAUCGACAAAACUGGAUUCAAAAAAGUAAAAUAUAGCACUUGUGUGGCAUCUAUCAUCGAGCAGCACCCUUACUGUGACGUCUAAAAAGGAAACGGUUUACUGGAUCAGAUGUGGAAGAGGAAAAGAAAUCGGAAGCAAAUCCAUACAACAACUCGACCAGCAGUAAAGUACCCAGCUUUCAGAGAUUGGACACCUAGAUUAGUACACAGAAAAGUUGGACUACUUGAUCGUCUUGAAGGAGGAUGUCUACAUGUACUAAACCAGUAAAUCGUUCAUGGAUAUUUCUUUAUAAUGUCUGCAAUGACUCGUUCGUCGCUAUUUAAAAUUUUGA
Molecule: long non-coding RNA, 2388 nt
Organism: Triticum dicoccoides
Lineage: Eukaryota; Viridiplantae; Streptophyta; Magnoliopsida; Poales; Poaceae
Exons: 4
Source: RefSeq, a predicted model, not a curated record